CCUACGGGAGGCAGCAGUGAGGAAUAUUGGUCAAUGGGCGCAAGCCUGAACCAGCGAAGUCGCGUGAGGGAUGACGGUCCUAGGGAUGGUAAACCUCUUUUGUCGGGGAGCAAGGCCGGCUACGUGUAGCCGGACUGAGAGGACCUGAAGCAAAAGCAUCGGCUAACUCCGUGCCAGCAGCCGCGGUAAUACGGAGGAUGCGAGCGUUAUCCGGAUUUAUUGGGUUUAAAGGGAGCGUAGCUGGGUUGUUAAGUCAGUUGUGAAAGUUUGCGGCUCAACCGUAAAAUUGCAAUGGAUACUGGCAGUCUUGAGUACAGUUGAGGUAGGCGGAAUUCGUGGUGUAGCGGUGAAAUGCUUAGAUAUCACGAAGAACUCCGAUUGCGAAGGCAGCUUACUAAACUGCCACUGACAUUGAUGCUCGAAAGUGUGGGUAUCAAACAGGAUUAGAUACCCGAGUAGUC
This 461-nucleotide ribosomal RNA is filed under the name uncultured bacterium. Its description in RNAcentral is "partial 16S ribosomal RNA". It matches the Rfam family "Bacterial small subunit ribosomal RNA", at positions 338 to 795 of the family's 1533-position model. The record is from RNAcentral.